GCCACUAUAGUUAAACGGUAUAACUGCUGAUUUGUAAUCAGCUAUUCGGGGUUCGAUUCCUCGUAGUGGCUCUA
Molecule: transfer RNA, 74 nt
Filed under: Crocinitomicaceae bacterium
Lineage: Bacteria; Pseudomonadati; Bacteroidota; Flavobacteriia; Flavobacteriales; Crocinitomicaceae
Description: tRNA-Thr
Rfam family: tRNA
About the family: Transfer RNA (tRNA) molecules are approximately 80 nucleotides in length. Their secondary structure includes four short double-helical elements and three loops (D, anti-codon, and T loops).
Source: RNAcentral